RNAcentral lists this ribosomal RNA (257 nucleotides) under uncultured Pseudomonas sp. Its description in RNAcentral is "partial 16S ribosomal RNA". It matches the Rfam family "Bacterial small subunit ribosomal RNA", at positions 96 to 356 of the family's 1533-position model. Lineage: Bacteria; Pseudomonadati; Pseudomonadota; Gammaproteobacteria; Pseudomonadales; Pseudomonadaceae. The record is from RNAcentral.
CGGCGGACGGGUGAGUAAUGCCUAGGAAUCUGCCUGGUAGUGGGGGACAACGUUUCGAAAGGAACGCUAAUACCGCAUACGUCCUACGGGAGAAAGCAGGGGACCUUCGGGCCUUGCGCUAUCAGAUGAGCCUAGGUCGGAUUAGCUAGUUGGUGAGGUAAUGGCUCACCAAGGCGACGAUCCGUAACUGGUCUGAGGGGAUGAUCAGUCACACUGGAACUGAGACACGGUCCAGACUCCUACGGGAGGCAGCAGCG